CACAACCCUAGAGAACAGAACAAAUCUGGUCAAGAUGGCUAAAGCUUCCCCCAAAUGGCCUUGCUGCACAGCUCUAGUGACCAGGACAGGAAUGAAGGCAAGGUCAAUGGAUCAGUACCCUUGACUCUGAGGAUAUCACAGAAAGAAAUCGCUGUGUGGCCUGAUCAUCUUCCUUGAAUACUCCUUUUGUCACAUCUUCGCCGCAAGGACCGUCCACGGCUCCCUACUUCCUUCUGUGGACUAAUAGUGACCACUGCAACCUUUUGGAAGUACAAGAAGACAUCUUCAUAGGGAGGCUCCUCUGCCAGUGGAAGGCAGGGUUGCAAGAAGGGAUCACCUUGUUUGGGGAACUCGAUCAAAAACACUGAUAACCAGUAUCCCUCAGCUUUGUCCCAGAUACCCUGGUGAUGUGGCGUCUUCUGAAUCUGAAACUUAUCAACAAAUGGAGUUAGAUGCUGUGCACUUGAAGCAGCAGAGACUGCCAAGGUCACUAACAUAUGGACUUGCUUUGUCUCCUUCAAGACAAGACCUGGGGCACUCCCUGAGCUGUAGGAUUUGAGAAGAGUCUUCCCAGGAGAUGAACCUCUUCUUCAAAUAUUUGAGGCUCUGACCUGUGAAAGAAGGUGCCUCUCAACCUGAAUCCUAACAGCAGAGCUUGAACUUCUGGGUAUAAGAAAGAAGGAAGCAGAUCUCAACUCAAUAUAAAGAGGAGCCUUAUCAGGCACAGAAGUCGAGAGAUGAAAAUGGCUGCUUUAGGAGGCAGUGGGCUCACUCUCAUGAGAGGCACUGCAACAGAGGCAGGUGUCCCUGUGAUUGGCUCAGGAGUAAUGAUAUUUAAUAUUUAUGCAUCACUUCAGCAUGCCAGGUCCAAGCCUGAGUGUUAUAAACUAUCUUAUGUAAUGCACUCAACAAUCAUAACAGGGAAGUAUUAUUAAUAACUCUAGUUUCAGCCAGCACAGUGGCUCAUGCCUAU
This 973-nucleotide long non-coding RNA is filed under the name Homo sapiens (human). Its description in RNAcentral is "HSALNT0370404". Lineage: Eukaryota; Metazoa; Chordata; Mammalia; Primates; Hominidae. The record is from RNAcentral.